This 72-nucleotide transfer RNA is filed under the name Ictidomys tridecemlineatus (thirteen-lined ground squirrel). RNAcentral describes it as "Spermophilus tridecemlineatus (thirteen-lined ground squirrel) tRNA". It matches the Rfam family "tRNA". Rfam says of the family: Transfer RNA (tRNA) molecules are approximately 80 nucleotides in length. Their secondary structure includes four short double-helical elements and three loops (D, anti-codon, and T loops). Further hydrogen bonds mediate the characteristic L-shaped molecular structure. tRNAs have two regions of fundamental functional importance: the anti-codon, which is responsible for specific mRNA codon recognition, and the 3' end, to which the tRNAs corresponding amino acid is attached (by aminoacyl-tRNA synthetases). tRNAs cope with the degeneracy of the genetic code in two manners: having more than one tRNA (with a specific anti-codon) for a particular amino acid; and 'wobble' base-pairing, i.e. permitting non-standard base-pairing at the 3rd anti-codon position. RNAcentral also lists the same sequence under 1 other name. Lineage: Eukaryota; Metazoa; Chordata; Mammalia; Rodentia; Sciuridae. The record is from Rfam by way of RNAcentral.
GGGGAUGUGGCUCAGUGGCAGAGUGCUUGCCUGGCAUAUGAGAGGGCCUGAGUUCAAUCCUUAGCAUCACAA